RNAcentral lists this ribosomal RNA (401 nucleotides) under Limulus polyphemus (Atlantic horseshoe crab). RNAcentral describes it as "partial 16S ribosomal RNA". The record is from RNAcentral. Lineage: Eukaryota; Metazoa; Arthropoda; Merostomata; Xiphosura; Limulidae.
UUUUAAAUCUUAUUUGUUUGUAAUUUAAAAGUAUUUAUUAGGUUGAGUAAGUUGUAUUGAAUGAUUUUGGAUGAUUAUAUUUUAUUAGUACUGUGAAGGAAGGAUGAAAUAUGGUAAAUAUUUAUUAGGAUAUUAGAAAAGAUUAAAUCUUGUACCUUUUGUAUCAGGGGUGAAUAAUUGAAAUUAUUUAUUUAUUUUUCCCGAAGGAAAGAGAGUUAAUAUGAAAUUGAAAUUGAUGUAGUAAAAUCAAGUUUUAUUUUGUGUUGGAGGUGAAAUGUCAAGCGAUCUUUUUGAUAUCUGGUUCUUUGAGAAAUGAAUUUAGUUCAGCUUUUGAAAAUAAAAGUUAUUUUUUUUUAUUUUUUUAUUUUCAGGAAGUGAGUAUCUAGGGGAUAAUCUCUAGA